UCUCGUGCUUCGACAGCCAGGGGGUGG
Molecule: small RNA, 27 nt
Filed under: Bombyx mori (domestic silkworm)
Lineage: Eukaryota; Metazoa; Arthropoda; Insecta; Lepidoptera; Bombycidae
Description: ovarian small RNA-29798
Source: RNAcentral